GUAUAAUGGGUCAGCGACUUAUAUUCUGUAGCAAGGUUAACCGUAUAGGGGAGCCGCAGGGAAACCGAGUCUUAACUGGGCGUUAAGUUGCAGGGUAUAGACCCGAAACCCGGUGAUCUAGCCAUGGGCAGGUUGAAGGUUGGGUAACACUAACUGGAGGACCGAACCGACUAAUGUUGAAAAAUUAGCGGAUGACUUGUGGCUGGGGGUGAAAGGCCAAUCAAACCGGGAGAUAGCUGGUUCUCCCCGAAAGCUAUUUAGGUAGCGCCUCGUGAACUCAUCUUCGGGGGUAGAGCACUGUUUCGGCUAGGGGGUCAUCCCGACUUACCAACCCGAUGCAAACUACGAAUACCGAAGAAUGUUAUCACGGGAGACACACGGCGGGUGCUAACGUCCGUCGUGAAGAGGGAAACAACCCAGACCGCCAGCUAAGGUCCCAAAGUCACAGUUAAGUGGGAAACGAUGUGGGAAGGCACAGACAGCCAGGAUGUUGGCUUAGAAGCAGCCAUCAUUUAAAGAAAGCGUAAUAGCUCACUGGUCGAGUCGGCCUGCGCGGAAGAUGUAACGGGGCUAAACUGUGCAC
RNAcentral lists this ribosomal RNA (583 nucleotides) under Klebsiella aerogenes. Its description in RNAcentral is "partial 23S ribosomal RNA". It matches the Rfam family "Bacterial large subunit ribosomal RNA", at positions 610 to 1194 of the family's 2925-position model. Lineage: Bacteria; Pseudomonadati; Pseudomonadota; Gammaproteobacteria; Enterobacterales; Enterobacteriaceae. The record is from RNAcentral.